UGCCAUAUUCGGUUUCGCCGAGAAUCGUGAACACGUACGCCGGAAGCAAUGCGGGGUAAUUAUUUGAUUUAUUUCAUAAUAUUAUUUAACAUAUAUCGUGAAAAGUUCUGAAUAUUCGGAUUCUUCUGUUAUCGUUUCAUCGUGUGUUAGCAUUAUCAGCUCUCGGUAUCGAAUUGACAAACAGAAUUUUUCUCAUAGAAAUUCGAUAGUUUACAUUUCACGGGCCCCGUGUUGCACCCGCAUUGCUUUCGUUCCUGUUUCCAACGUAUAAGUGUAGCGUCAGUGAUUCGCGUGACGCGACGUAACCUUCAACGUUUGUUUUUCUCGGUUUAUGCGUUGUGUGUUCGUUUGAAUGAAAAUGUCGCGAGUGUUGUAACAAAAACCACGGAAAACAGAAGAAGAAUACGGGAGCAAAAGGAAUUCCAGGCUACAGCAGAAUGCCCAUUACCCAACAGGGUUUCGUUCCAUGGUAUUUCAACGAGGCGUCGCUGUCGUUGCUGUUGUCACAUACGAGACACAACAAAUCACGAAAUUGACAAAUCACCGGUGAUCUCCUCGAGUCGCAGUUCGAACGUUUCACAAAUAAGUUAAAGUAUUGAACUUUAGAUAUAGUGGUAAAAUUUAUUGCAUGAAUCCAACAGAGUGACGGUUCAGAGUGUCAUAACAAAGAGGCCACUGCAAUGAGAAAGGAAUUCCUGAAGCCAAAAAAAAUGAUACAUCCAAAUAGCAGAAAGUCUAUCGCUAUUACGAAAAAAGCCAAAAAAAUAUCAAAUAGACAGAAGGCAGAAAUGUCCCGCUUGAUAAAACAGAAUUCAAUAGGAGAGAAAAUAUCAUGGAUCAGAAACAAUAUGAUUCCAGGCGUGUGUCCCUAUACUCCAGAGUUAACUGCAAGUUUGUUAGAAACGGAGGUAUGUAGCAAGAAAUGAUGAAGCAAUGGAAGAAAUUACUAUUAAAAGAUCUAUAGGUAGCAACAGGAGUAGACAGCAUGCUAGGAGGGAACAUAUAAUUAGAGUAGAAAGAACUAGGAGAAUAUCAUACACGUGGAAUAGAAAUUUCUGAUAUUUUAAAUGCAACUCAGUGUGAAAUGUUAUUGAAUUGGAAUAAUGAAUUACAGUGUGUGAAUAAUUCUAAAUUUAUAAGGUUUGGCGAGAAAGAUUUAAAGAAAGUAUUAGAGCUAAGACAAAGAAUGAAAAUAAGCCAUAUUAGACUAUUCAAAUCUCUGUUAGCUAUGCCUGUAAACAAGAAGAAUUUAUUAAAUUACUAUUAUAUGAUACCGAGGGGAACUUUGAUGUAUUAGAAGGAUGCUGUGAAAUUCGAAAGGACGGGAUGAAAGUCAAGAGGACACCAUGGUGAUUAACGAUAAAUUUGAUAACUUUUCGUCGAAAUGUGAUAAUAUUUGUUCACUUUUAGAUUAACUCCAUUUCUUAUAAAUAUUUCGUGAUAUUAUCGUAAUUAAUAUCUAAUAUAACAAAUUCUAAAUUCACGGUUUAUUAGAACACCAAGAUGAAAAAUGCAAGAUUAAAGAAAUUAUUUUUUUCUUUCGAA
This is an RNA transcript of Bombus huntii, 1545 nucleotides long. It is a transcript of the gene named translation machinery-associated protein 16 homolog, with no coding region annotated. NCBI's taxonomy places the organism in Eukaryota, Metazoa, Arthropoda, Insecta, Hymenoptera, Apidae. The transcript has 8 exons. The record is from RefSeq and is a predicted model, not a curated record.